UCUCCGUAGGUGAACCUGCGGAGGGAUCAUUACUGAGUGAGGGCUCACGCCCGACCUCCAACCCCAUGUGAACCGCAACUGUUGCUUCGGGGGCGACCCUGCCGUUCGCGGCGUGGGCCCCCCGGAGCCCAUCAAACCCUGCGUAACUGAGUCGUCGGAGUUUAAACAAAUUAAACAAAACUUUCAACAACGGAUCUCUUGGUUCGGGCAUCGAUGAAGAACGCAGC
Molecule: unclassified non-coding RNA, 227 nt
Filed under: uncultured fungus
Lineage: Eukaryota; Fungi
Description: sequence contains ITS1, 5.8S rRNA gene
Rfam family: 5.8S ribosomal RNA (bases 179-227)
Source: RNAcentral